Molecule: unclassified non-coding RNA, 329 nt
Filed under: soil metagenome
Description: partial contains 5.8S ribosomal RNA, internal transcribed spacer 2, and large subunit ribosomal RNA
Rfam family: 5.8S ribosomal RNA (bases 1-120)
Source: RNAcentral
GAUGAAGAACGUAGCGAAAUGCGAUAAGUAGUGUGAAUUGCAGAAUUCAGUGAAUCAUCGAAUCUUUGAACGCACAUUGCGCCCUUUGGUAUUCCUUAGGGCAUGCCUGUUCGAGCGUCAUUUAAACCUUCAAGCUAAGCUUGGUGUUGGGUGACUGUCCGCUUCACGGCGGACUCGCCUCAAAAUUAUUGGCGGCCGGUACAUUGGCUUCGAGCGCAGCAGAAACGCGAACUCGGGCCCGUCGUAUUGGCUCCCAGAAGCUAUCUUCACAAUUUUGACCUCGGAUCAGGUAGGGAUACCCGCUGAACUUAAGCAUAUCAAUAAGCGGA